This is a long non-coding RNA of Coturnix japonica (Japanese quail), 2210 nucleotides long. Ensembl annotates it as stathmin domain containing 1. The record is from Ensembl. Lineage: Eukaryota; Metazoa; Chordata; Aves; Galliformes; Phasianidae.
UAUCUUUUAUUUAUAAAAAAAGAAGGAGAAGAAGAAAAGAGGCUAGAGACACUCAGGUGUCUUCAGUUGAGUUCCCUCAGGAGGUUCACUGACUCUCUCAAUGACCAACAGACCAACACCUCCAGCUAGCUCAGAAGAAGCACAUUCCCUCUCAGCUUCACACGCAGGAGGGUGGUCAAAGACAAUGGUCCCUGCAUGCCAGGACACAACAUGAAAGCCUUCUGUGGUGCUAUUUAUUGUAGCAACAAGCCCUGGCAACAGUUAGAUGCCAUGGUGAUCACAAAUAACCAAACUCCCAACAAUGAGAUGAGGGCAUUACUACUACUCAGACUUGCAGCAGGGAGAAGCAGAUGGUCCCCGUUUCAUCAUGGGCUGCAAUACAUCUAACAGGGUUGCUGCAACACAGCUGUCUUCUGAGGAGCUACAGAACAACCACGAAGCCAGAAGCCAGACUACAAGUGACAGCGCUGACAGUACAUGGGCUGCCACCUCUCAGGAGGGGACAGCUUGGACAGGGGGCACUUUAGAGAACAGAAACAAACUUGAAGUCAGCGAAGGAGAUUUCCCUGAGAAAUCAACAGAAGGGUUUACGCCUCCUGAAAAAAGAAGCAAUGCACAAAGCACAGAUGCACUGCUCACCAGUGGGUUCAUCAGUAAAUCAAGGCCUUUACAAGAAACGGAGAGACAAAAAUCAUCAGACAUUCUUGAGGAGCUGAGGAUGCAGGGAAUAAUCAGGAGCCAAAGUACUACUGCUGGGACUGGAGAAGCAUAUGAAAACAAGAGAGAUGCCCUGAAAAAGAUGCCGAAGAAACCACCAGUUAGGCUGGAAAAAAUGUGGUUUGGAAGCAAGGAAGUGAAUGAUUUCACAGCAAAGGACAUGAAGACUGCUGAAGAGAAAAAACAGGUUAGGGAAAAAGAACUAUGCAGGAGACAACAACACAGUGCAUUUUAUCCAGCAACGGACCACCAAGCUACAAGUAAAAAGACUGAAAAGGACUGCCCAAAUUUUCAAAGUCAAGAAAGCACAGAUUCCCCUCAGUCAUCACCUUUACAUGGCAAGAUAAGUGUACCGCUGCAGGAAAUAACUGCAGAAGAAACCACAAAUUAUUACACUGAGGACUUUACUAUUGAGUCUGAUACAACUUACAACUGUAUCAAUGAAACAAUCUGGAUCUAAGCCAUUCUGCAAAGAAGGAAACUCUCUGCUCCCUGUUGCUGUUUAUCUCAGGGCUUGAGAAGAUGAUUUAUCCUGAACUGAUAGUUGUGGUUACGUAUUUCACCUUGGAAAACUCUAAUUUCCACAUUUUUACAUACAAGUUGAAGGAAACAAACCAAAUAAGAAAAGAAAGAGGCAAAUUAGUGACCCGCCAGUCUCUAAGUUGGAGCACAAACAUGUGAACACGGUUCUAUUACACUUACCUCUAGAAUUCCAUUUUCCUAGAGGGCUGAGAACAGGAGUUUGGAAAGGCACUGUAAGAGUACAGAAAGACACAAAAGCAGGAGUAUGCAAGUAUGAACAGCUACAAGAUUUGGGGUAGUAAAACACAGUGGGCACCUAAACAUAAGAACAAAGAGUCUUAACUUGCUGUGCAGGCAGAGAAGUGUGAGCUUCAGAUGUUAAGGUAACAACAGGCCACAGGAACGUCUGUGUAUACAGAGCAUGUACAAAUACUGAAACUGAAGCAGAGAAAACAACUAAUUGGCUGAGAUUUGCAAAGCGCAGGUGAGUUAUCCAUAUGGACGAGAAGAAUGUGAUUGAUCUCCAUGGGAAGGAGAGGACUGUUCCCAUAUCAGAGCGAUGAAUUUGGAAUCUCCCAUGCCCUACCUCCUAUAUACAUGCAACAUCUAAUAUAUUCAGUUCUUCCAAAACCAGUGCAUAACAGCAAUGGUUGCAUUUGCACUUCACCUGUUACCAGCCCUACCAUUCCCUUCUGGUUCAUCUCUAAGUUUGCCUAAUCCUUACUUCCAUACCAAUAACGCCUACCUGCCAUGCUGGCUUUUCUAAUUCCUUACCUCCAGCUCCUGAUGACACAUUCUUCCUUUCUGCCUUCCAAGCCAAGGAAAUUCAGUUACAGUACAGGCCCACUGCUUUCUUUGCCAGGUACUAUAGGAAAGAGGAAAAACUUAACCUUUAUUUGUACAGUCUCAUUGUGGUUCUCCCUAUUACUCUCUGGAAGUUUAAAUAAAUAAAUAAUACUUGCACUAAAACA